This 425-nucleotide ribosomal RNA is filed under the name uncultured bacterium. Its description in RNAcentral is "bacterial SSU rRNA". It matches the Rfam family "Bacterial small subunit ribosomal RNA", at positions 354 to 796 of the family's 1533-position model. The record is from RNAcentral.
GUGGGGAAUAUUGGACAAUGGGCGCAAGCCUGAUCCAGCCAUGCCGCGUGAGUGAUGAAGGCCCUAGGGUUGUAAAGCUCUUUCACCGGAGAAGAUAAUGACGGUAUCCGGAGAAGAAGCCCCGGCUAACUUCGUGCCAGCAGCCGCGGUAAUACGAAGGGGGCUAGCGUUGUUCGGAAUUACUGGGCGUAAAGCGCACGUAGGCGGACAUUUAAGUCAGGGGUGAAAUCCCGGGGCUCAACCCCGGAACUGCCUUUGAUACUGGGUGUCUGGAGUAUGGAAGAGGUAAGUGGAAUUCCGAGUGUAGAGGUGAAAUUCGUAGAUAUUCGGAGGAACACCAGUGGCGAAGGCGGCUUACUGGUCCAUUACUGACGCUGAGGUGCGAAAGCGUGGGGAGCAAACAGGAUUAGAAACCCCAGUAGUCC